Molecule: long non-coding RNA, 399 nt
Organism: Dermacentor silvarum
Lineage: Eukaryota; Metazoa; Arthropoda; Arachnida; Ixodida; Ixodidae
Exons: 3
Source: RefSeq, a predicted model, not a curated record
CCUGUUUACCUAGCAUAUACAACAGCUGACAUAGCUGCGGCGUGAUUGCGUAGGCGUGUUGUGUACGGGAUACGGGGCUGUCUCUUCCGUGCAUUCGUCUGCACAAGCCUGCCGUUCAGUGCCCCAACAGCCCCGAAAACACGAAUGGCCGACACCUGCAUGUGAAAUUCUUCAUAGUUCCGUGCAGGUAGUGCAAAAAAAGAGAGGGAACAAGCGUGAACCACUGCUGUUGCUGGCAGUGUCAAUCAUUCAGUAAAGGACAACGUCCAACAACAUGCCCGAUGUGUCGGCAGCGUGGAAUUCGAGGAUCGAUGAGUCGCCUUGAAGUACCUGGCAUUGGAUUAUUCAACCUAUGGGGCCACAACUUCUUCUACAACUGAUGUCACGAGCGACAUGAUG